Non-coding RNA from Caenorhabditis elegans, 21 nucleotides. The record is from Ensembl. NCBI's taxonomy places the organism in Eukaryota, Metazoa, Nematoda, Chromadorea, Rhabditida, Rhabditidae.
UCGAUUUCGCAAAACAUCGGA